UACGUAGGGGGCUAGCGUUGUCCGGAAUCAUUGGGCGUAAAGCGCGUGUAGGCGGUCCGGUAAGUCCGCUGUGAAAGUCGGGGGCUCAACCCUCGAAUGCCGGUGGAUACUGUCGGGCUAGAGUGCGGAAGAGGCGAGUGGAAUUCCUGGUGUAGCGGUGAAAUGCGCAGAUAUCAGGAGGAACACCUAUUGCGAAGGCAGCUCGCUGGGACGUUACUGACGCUGAGACGCGAAAGCGUGGGGAGCAAACAGG
This 253-nucleotide ribosomal RNA is filed under the name uncultured bacterium. RNAcentral describes it as "partial 16S ribosomal RNA". It matches the Rfam family "Bacterial small subunit ribosomal RNA", at positions 524 to 776 of the family's 1533-position model. The record is from RNAcentral.